This is a long non-coding RNA of Manis javanica (Malayan pangolin), 458 nucleotides long. RefSeq lists it as uncharacterized. The record is from RefSeq and is a predicted model, not a curated record. Lineage: Eukaryota; Metazoa; Chordata; Mammalia; Pholidota; Manidae.
CUCGGGCUCAGGCUCGGGGAGGCAGGGAGGUGCUGAGAAGAGCCACGGCACGCACAGCAACGGAAGGGAGAUGCCCCCAACAAUCCCAAGGAAUUCUCCGGCAAUCUACUUAAACCAGCAGAUUAUCUUGAGGAGGAGCAGCUAGAAAGGCGAUGGAAGAGGAUCAUGAUGACUAUGCCACAUUCUCAGCCUCAGCUCCUCGAACUCCCUCUGACUUCAAAGGAAACUGCUUGAAGAGGGAGGGCACACAAUAGGAGAAUUGGUCUGAUUAUCCCCCUCUGUUUAGAAAUAGGUAAAGAUUAUAGAUAUGUUUUCUUCUUUCUGUGCUUUGGACUAUAUAAUGUCAAUUACCUCAAGCAAAACCCCCUACUGAGGUUAAUGCACAGAUUUGGAUUAUACCAAGACUGGAAACAAGAUAUUAAUAAUAAUCCAUAACAGUGUGAGUGUGACAUAAUGAA